RNAcentral lists this ribosomal RNA (292 nucleotides) under uncultured bacterium. RNAcentral describes it as "partial 16S ribosomal RNA". It matches the Rfam family "Bacterial small subunit ribosomal RNA", at positions 30 to 339 of the family's 1533-position model. The record is from RNAcentral.
CGAACGCUAGCGGCGGGCUUAACACAUGCAAGUCGAACGCAACCUUCGGGUUGAGUGGCGAACGGGUGAGGAACACGUAGGUGACCUGCCCAGAGGUGGGGGGACAACCGAGGGAAACUUCGGCUAAUACCGCAUAUGGCCUUCGGGUCAAAGUCUUCGGACGCCUUUGGAUGGGCCUGCGUCCCCAUUAUUUAAUCCUAGUUGGUAGGGUAACGGCCUACCAAGGGUACGAUGGGUAGCUGGUCUGAGAGGACGAUCAGCCACACUGGGACUGAGACACGGCCCAGACUCC